Molecule: long non-coding RNA, 1578 nt
Filed under: Schizosaccharomyces pombe (fission yeast)
Lineage: Eukaryota; Fungi; Ascomycota; Schizosaccharomycetes; Schizosaccharomycetales; Schizosaccharomycetaceae
Description: non-coding RNA, possible alternative UTR
Source: RNAcentral
GACUUUUUUGGAUUUAUAACUUUUAUUUUUACUGAGGUUUUUUCUACAGGAUAUGUAACAGUUAAAGUAAUGAAAAAAUAAUAAGCCCAAAAUAGCUCAUCUUCUCCUGAACGACAUUUCAAUCCUAUAAAGACUAACCUGAAACCGGUUUAGCAAAUAUUAUAGAACCAGGUAACGUGAAAGUACAACAGUACAUAUCCUAGUUGUUUAGUUAGUUACAUUAAAAGUGCUAUAUAAAGAAGGAUAUUACCUUGUUGGGAGCAACUUUUCGGACAUAAUAAAAGUCAACUUCUUCAGGAGAAAAACGAUACCCCAACGAAGCGUAUAUCCGCUAAAAAAACUUGGUUAGUAAAUUUUCAUUUAAAGUAAGCAUUUCAUACAUUUAUAAGAUCUUCCUCAGGAUCGGGAAAUCUACAAAAGCAGUGAACAUGAACUUUUGGAAGAGAGCGGUCUUUAAACAAGUACUCCAAUCCAUAAUAACAACCUUUGAAAGCAUCUAAAAAUUCAAUCGCUGAUCCGGGUAAAUUCAUUACAUAGUGUGAAAAUACAGGAGGGAUGGGAAUAUCCUGUCUCACAGGAUCUUUAUUUUCUUCCAAUUUACGUGCUCGCUUUCUCGGAGGAAAGACUGUAAUGGCUUUUUCAUCUUUAGAGAAUCCUAAUAGUUUCUGAACAGAGGAACGAAUAAAUUCUCUACCAUCUUGAUUGAAUGCUUUUACAAAAUUCGCAACCUUAAUAGCUAGUUAGCAUUAUCUCACAAGCUUUUGACCAAGCUGAAGUUUAUACCUUGUUUAGAAAAAUGUUCUCAACUAAACUUUCAUAGCUGUAAGGAUUCAAAUCGUUUGCAAACACGAUUACAUUUUUUUUUCCAGCCGGACAGGCAAAUGGGCCAACUCCUGCCAUUACGUCGCAAACAGCAUCUCCAGGUUGAAAUUGCUGUAUCAAACGGUCAUGUUCAGUGCUAAGGCGUGAAUUCCAAUAUACUUUGGAGAAGUCAAAUCGAAAUUUGCAGUUUGAUUCAGACUAAAAUAAAUUCAUCAGUAAAGCAAAUCUUAAUUGCUGAAAGUUGACCAAUAGCCAUACCUGAGUAACUAUAAAAUCAUCCUUUCCGGCCAAUACUUCCAUUUGAAAGGUACGAAAUUUGGUAUCGAUAGUGUCAGUUUUGUUAACAACGGUUUCAAUAGAAGGAUUCUUGUCUAAAAUAACUUUUCCAAUGAUAUAUUUAUAAGGAAGCCAUUCCUCACGUAAGUUCAUAUGUGCUAUAUGUCCAACAGCGGUGAAGCCAGAAGGAUGAUCCUCUUUCUCGCCGGGAGGUAAAAUAGCAUCCAGUAUAUCAUCUAAGUAAAAGUUGUUAGUAGAAGCUACAACAAAUAAAUCUCGAAAAGAAGAGACGACGACGCUAUAUGUGUUUAUUGCAAUUUACGAUUCAAAUAAUCCUACCUGCUCUCCAAUAGUCAUAGUCCAAAGUCAACUGAAAAGGAACUAACUCUAUAUUAUUUUCUUUAAUAAAAGAUACGGUAGCAUCCGAUAAACCCCGAGUACCUUGAAAUUAGCAUACAGUUAUAAAUAAAAAAUCUUGUC